Molecule: ribosomal RNA, 388 nt
Filed under: uncultured bacterium
Lineage: Bacteria
Description: bacterial SSU rRNA
Rfam family: Bacterial small subunit ribosomal RNA
Source: RNAcentral
GACGAACGCUGGCGGCGUGCUUAACACAUGCAAGUCGAGCGGUAAGGCCCUUUCGGGGGUACACGAGCGGCGAACGGGUGAGUAACACGUGGGUGACCUGCCCUCAGCUCUGGGAUAAGCCUGGGAAACCGGGUCUAAUACUGGAUAUGACUCCAUGACGCAUGUUGUGGGGUGGAAAGCCUUGUGCGGCUGAGGAUGGGCCCGCGGCCUAUCAGCUUGUUGGUGGGGUGAUGGCCUACCAAGGCGACGACGGGUAGCCGGCCUGAGAGGGCGACCGGCCACACUGGGACUGAGACACGGCCCAGACUCCUACGGGAGGCAGCAGUGGGGAAUCUUGCACAAUGGGCGAAAGCCUGACGCAGCGACGCCGCGUGAGGGAUGACGGCCU